Molecule: ribosomal RNA, 565 nt
Filed under: Hanseniaspora uvarum
Lineage: Eukaryota; Fungi; Ascomycota; Saccharomycetes; Saccharomycodales; Saccharomycodaceae
Description: partial large subunit ribosomal RNA
Rfam family: Eukaryotic large subunit ribosomal RNA
Source: RNAcentral
GGCGAGUGAAGCGGUAAAAGCUCAAAAUUUGAAAUCUGGUACUUUCAGUGCCCGAGUUGUAAUUUGUAGAAUUUGUCUUUGAUUAGGUCCUUGUCUAUGUUCCUUGGAACAGGACGUCAUAGAGGGUGAGAAUCCCGUUUGGCGAGGAUACCUUUUCUCUGUAAGACUUUUUCGAAGAGUCGAGUUGUUUGGGAAUGCAGCUCAAAGUGGGUGGUAAAUUCCAUCUAAAGCUAAAUAUUGGCGAGAGACCGAUAGCGAACAAGUACAGUGAUGGAAAGAUGAAAAGAACUUUGAAAAGAGAGUGAAAAAGUACGUGAAAUUGUUGAAAGGGAAGGGCAUUUGAUCAGACAUGGUGUUUUUUGCAUGCACUCGCCUCUCGUGGGCUUGGGCCUCUCAAAAAUUUCACUGGGCCAACAUCAAUUCUGGCAGCAGGAUAAAUCAUUAAGAAUGUAGCUACUUUGGUAGUGUUAUAGCUUUUUGGAAUACUGUUAGCCGGGAUUGAGGACUGCGCUUCGGCAAGGAUGUUGGCAUAAUGGUUAAAUGCCGCCCGUCUUGAAACACGGAC